GCGGAAGAGUUCAGUGGUAGAACAUCACCUUGCCAAGGUGGGGGUCGCGGGUUCGAACCCCGUCUUCCGC
Molecule: transfer RNA, 70 nt
Filed under: Listeria monocytogenes
Lineage: Bacteria; Bacillati; Bacillota; Bacilli; Caryophanales; Listeriaceae
Description: tRNA-Gly
Rfam family: tRNA
About the family: Transfer RNA (tRNA) molecules are approximately 80 nucleotides in length. Their secondary structure includes four short double-helical elements and three loops (D, anti-codon, and T loops).
Source: RNAcentral